This 656-nucleotide ribosomal RNA is filed under the name Alcaligenes faecalis. RNAcentral describes it as "bacterial SSU rRNA". It matches the Rfam family "Bacterial small subunit ribosomal RNA", at positions 56 to 706 of the family's 1533-position model. The record is from RNAcentral. Lineage: Bacteria; Pseudomonadati; Pseudomonadota; Betaproteobacteria; Burkholderiales; Alcaligenaceae.
UGCAGUCGAACGGCAGCGCGAAAGAUGUUGCUCUCUUGGCGGCGAGUGGCGGACGGGUGAGUAAUAUAUCUGACCGUGCCCGGGGGAUGGGGAUAACUACUCGAAAGAGUGGCUAAUACCGCAUACGCCCUACGGGGGAAAGGGGGGGAUCGCAAGACCUCUCACUAUUGGAGCGGCCGAUAUCGGAUUAGCUAGUUGGUGGGGUAAAGGCUCACCAAGGAUCCGAUCCGGUCUGGUUUGAGAGGACGACCAGCCACACUGGGACUGAGACACGGACCCACUCCUACGGGAGGCGCAGAGGGGAAUUUUGGACAAUGGGGGAAACCCUGAUCCGCCAUCCCGCGUGUAUGAUGAAGGCCUUCGGGUUGUCUUUACUUUUGGCAGAGAAGAAAAGGUAUCCCCUAAUACUGGAUACUGCUGACGGUAUCUGCAGAACCGGCACCGGCUAACUACGUGCCAGCAGCCGCGGUAAUACGUAGGGUGCAAGCGUUAAUCGGAAUUACUGGGCGUAAAGCGUGUGUAGGCGGUUCGGAAAUGUGAUGUCCCCUCCCUCGGCUCAACCUUGGAACUGCAUUUUUAACUGCCGAGCUACGAGUAUGUCAUAGGGGAAUUUAAUUCCUCGUGUAGCAGUGAAAUGAUAUAGAUAUGUGAAGGAA